AUUUAAAUAGCUUAUAUAGAGCAAGAUAUUGAAGCUAUCUAGGAGGUACUUGUACCUUUAAAU
Molecule: transfer RNA, 63 nt
Filed under: Cyphonistes vallatus
Lineage: Eukaryota; Metazoa; Arthropoda; Insecta; Coleoptera; Scarabaeidae
Description: tRNA-Phe
Source: RNAcentral